CAUACCUAGCAGCCAAAUCAAGGACAGUUAAGCUCCCAGAGGAAUUUUUUUUUCAGCUUUAAUUGAGUUUAUUGGUACAUUUUAGGGAUACAGUACAGUUACAUUCAUUGUUGGGAUCUUGUACCUCUACAUGACAAGUCUUGAUUCUCAUUUUUUCCCCUUACCUCUGCCCUCCCUUCAAUUUUAAAGCCAUGAAACAAAAUGCAGCCCCACAUGAAGUUUUUAACAGGAAACCUCUGGCUCUAUACCUCUGCUGCAGGAAAAAAGCAUAAGCCAAAGCAGUACCUGCCCCAGUUAGCAUUUUGGAAAGAAAGAGGAUGGAGCCCAGAGAGCUGACAGGUACCUGAAAGGACAGAAAGACAGAUAAACUGGAAGAGACUGAGGUGUCCAACACAGACAAGAGAGUGCAUCCACUCUGAGGAGGAG
RNAcentral lists this long non-coding RNA (426 nucleotides) under Fukomys damarensis (Damara mole-rat). RNAcentral's name for it is "lncRNA (ENSFDAG00000027933.1)". Lineage: Eukaryota; Metazoa; Chordata; Mammalia; Rodentia; Bathyergidae. The record is from RNAcentral.